GGGAUGGAGCAGCCUGGUAGCUCGUCGGGCUCAUAACCCGAAGGUCGUCGGUUCAAAUCCGGCUCCC
Molecule: transfer RNA, 67 nt
Filed under: Pseudoalteromonas sp. S185
Lineage: Bacteria; Pseudomonadati; Pseudomonadota; Gammaproteobacteria; Alteromonadales; Pseudoalteromonadaceae
Description: tRNA-Met
Rfam family: tRNA
About the family: Transfer RNA (tRNA) molecules are approximately 80 nucleotides in length. Their secondary structure includes four short double-helical elements and three loops (D, anti-codon, and T loops).
Source: RNAcentral